RNAcentral lists this ribosomal RNA (528 nucleotides) under Drepanosticta versicolor. RNAcentral's name for it is "partial 16S ribosomal RNA". It matches the Rfam family "Bacterial large subunit ribosomal RNA", at positions 1831 to 2619 of the family's 2925-position model. Lineage: Eukaryota; Metazoa; Arthropoda; Insecta; Odonata; Platystictidae. The record is from RNAcentral.
CUCUUUUUGUUUUUAUAAUAAGUUUGACCUGCCCGGUGAAUGACUUUAAACGGCCGCGGUAUUUUGACCGUGCAAAGGUAGCAUAAUCAUUAGUCUUUUAAUAGAAGGCUGGCAUGAAUGGUUUGACGAGGAGUUAACUGUCUCAUUUAAAUUAUUUGAAUUUGACUUUUUGGUUAAAAGGCUUAAAAAUGUUAUUGGUAGACGAGAAGACCCUAUAGAGCUUUACAUGUUUAAUAUUUAUAUCAGUCGUUUAAUUUUUAUAUAAAUUUGGUUACUUGUUUUAUUGGGGUGAUAUUUGAAUAUAAUUAACUUCUUUUUUUUUUGCAUUGAUUUAUGUUUUUUUGAUCUUUUAUUAUUGAUUUUUAGAUUGAGUUACCUUAGGGAUAACAGCGUAAUCUUUCCUUGGAGUUCAUAUUUACGGAGUGGUUUGCGACCUCGAUGUUGGAUUAAGAUUACGAUUAGGUGUAGUAGCUUAAUUGGUGGGUCUGUUCGACCUUUAAAUUCUUACAUGAUCUGAGUUCAGACCGG